UCAGCAGUGAAACAGACCAGCGCCGAUGGUAGUGUGGCGUUGCCCAUGCGAGAGUAGGUCAUCGUCAGGC
This 70-nucleotide ribosomal RNA is filed under the name Marinobacter segnicrescens. Lineage: Bacteria; Pseudomonadati; Pseudomonadota; Gammaproteobacteria; Pseudomonadales; Marinobacteraceae. The record is from RNAcentral.